CAUCACAUAGGCCUAUACAUGGCCAAGGGAAGGGGAGCCAAGGUAGUAUCAGAAGUGUCAUUUGGUAUGCCGAAGGAGGCAUGAUCCACCAUGAAAUAUUGUCAUUGCCGGUACUCAAGGUCUCAUAUUUGUGGAGUCUCCCCGCAUUUAAAUAGUAAAUAAACUGUUUCCUAUUUAUUUAUUUAUCUAUAGGUUGCUGAAAUAUAUCAAACCUCUUCUGCAUAUGCAGUGGCAUUCCCGAGCUGUGGAAUGGUCAGAGUAGAAUUUGGAUGUGUAUAUAAGAAAUUGGUUACGCUGCCAAUAAAUUUUAUACAAGACUGUGCUUCUUGAUUCAGAUUCACCAAAUGAUGUUGUGAGUUGUGGGUCUAUGCCAUAAUUUACAGUAAAAUGCUAGAAUUUCUGGUAUUGUUAUCCAAGGUUUAGGCAGUUUUUGGAUAUGACAUUAUUUCCAGUGAUUUAAUUUUUGCAAAUUAUUGGCUUCUGAUUGAAUAUAUUUCUCAACCUUGAAGACUUCCCUGAUCUAGAUCACAGAAAGAAACCUUUGAUCUUGCACUAGCUUUUAUUUAUGGUUUUCCUGUAUCAAAACUGUGAUUAUUAAUGUUAAGCACGUUAUGCUAGAAUGAUGUCUUGAAUUUGUCUGUUACAUUACUCAUUAGUAAUUGGAAUAUGAUAUCAGCGCAAAACUUUAUAGUUACUCGAGAAAAAAUAGAGAACAGUUAAUUAUUUCCAUGAUGAUUCCAGUUCAUAGUUUCAAUCUUCAGACAUUUAACUGAAAGGAGUGCAAUAAAAAUGCAGCAAAGAUGUCAAUUGAUCUGGUUUAAUUAAAAUAAAAAAUACAAGUUAAUAUAAGAAUAGCCAAAAUACUCCUGUGCCAUCGUAGGUAGAAAUUUGAUACAUGUAUAGUUCACUAAAAACAUACAUUUGCCCAAUUCAAAAACAGAAGGCAAAAAUAAAAAAGUACCUUUAGCUACAUGCCCAUAUGCCUCCAACAGGAAACAAAAUAAAGAAAUCCUCUUGCAGAAACAAAAAGUGAACAAAAAAGGAACAAUUUACAUAGGAAGUCCAGCUUUCAUAUGAUGGUAUUUUCGAUGCAGUGAAGGGUUCAUGCAGGAGAAGAUUGAGGGCUUCUGUUUCUUUGGUUUAACCCCAAAAAUAAAUGACUGUAAAGGAACUCGCCCCCGGCUUGUUGAGUGUGUCAGCUGGAUAUGAUUAUUGUUCUUUGACCCAGCAAGUCCAAAUUCUUCAUUCAACUUUGUCAAAGUCUUCUCGACUUUGGUUUGGAGUCCUCUUACAUGAUCUAAACCUGCUUGCAGUUCACCUGCAACCUUGUUGUUCUCCUGUUGCAUGUUCAUGACCUCACCUUGCAACUUUGCUGCUUGAUAACUAGUAAACUUGAUUUCUUCAUCUCCAGGACCUUCCUUCAAAGUUCUUGAUAUAUCUUCUUGAAUGUUGCACAAAGAUGAAAAUCUUUGUUGCAAUUCCUCUUUCAGUAAUGCAUUUUGCUCCAGCCAGACUGAUAGUUCAGUCUGUAUCUCUCUUAGGUGUUUGUAAAUUGGCCGGGCAUCUGAUUUCACAGAGGGGUCUAUAGAAGCACUUCCAUCCUGUUUCUUCUUUACUUUUUCCUUAAGUUUUGAUAUUUCAGUCUGUAAAUCCUCCACUUCAGUCUGAAAUUUCUGUAUCUGAUGAACUGAGGUGCUGAAUCUUAACCAGAAGUUCAGGUUCUCCUCUAGCAGUGUAUCGAUGUUUGUCCGGAAGCGUUCUUCAGUCAUUGACAUGGGUUGAGCUUGAUCAAUUAGAAUUACCUUGAUAUCUUCUUCAUCAUCCUCUUUGUUUUCAGUUGGUUUUGGAGCCACAGCUGAAGUUUCUUCUUCGGUUCUUGCUUUGGGUUCAACAUUUUGAUCACCUGAUAGAGUAGAGGCUGGUUGGUGGUCUGAAUCUUUAGAUUUUCUCAAGUCCUUUUCUUCAUCCAGAUUUACCCGCAGAAGGCUUGAUUCCUGAUGUAAAGAUUGAAUGUCUUCAUCCUUCUUGGCAUUGGCACUCUCCAAUUCUUUUACCUGCACUGUUGUUUUCUUCUCUACUUCACUGAGCUUCUGCUUGACUUCUUUGUAAUUUUUAAG
Molecule: long non-coding RNA, 2117 nt
Filed under: Vitis vinifera (wine grape)
Lineage: Eukaryota; Viridiplantae; Streptophyta; Magnoliopsida; Vitales; Vitaceae
Description: long non-coding RNA (VVIN_LNC007765)
Source: RNAcentral